Molecule: ribosomal RNA, 253 nt
Filed under: uncultured Helicobacteraceae bacterium
Lineage: Bacteria; Pseudomonadati; Campylobacterota; Epsilonproteobacteria; Campylobacterales; Helicobacteraceae
Description: partial 16S ribosomal RNA
Rfam family: Bacterial small subunit ribosomal RNA
Source: RNAcentral
UACGUAGGGGGCAAGCGUUAUCCGGAUUUACUGGGUGUAAAGGGAGCGUAGACGGAAUUGCAAGUCUGAUGUGAAAAUCCGGGGCCCAACCCCGGAACUGCAUUUGAAACUGUUAUUCUAGAGUAUGGGAGAGGUAGGUGGAAUUCUUGGUGUAGGGGUAAAAUCCGUAGAGAUCAAGAGGAAUACUCAUUGCGAAGGCGACCUGCUAGAACAUAACUGACGCUGAUGCGCGAAAGCGUGGGGAGCAAACAGG